Molecule: ribosomal RNA, 253 nt
Filed under: uncultured bacterium
Lineage: Bacteria
Description: partial 16S ribosomal RNA
Rfam family: Bacterial small subunit ribosomal RNA
Source: RNAcentral
UACGUAGGGCGCAAGCGUUGUCCGGAAUUAUUGGGCGUAAAGAGCUCGUAGGCGGCUUGUCACGUCGGGUGUGAAAGCCCGGGGCUUAACCCCGGGUCUGCAUUCGAUACGGGCAGGCUAGAGUGUGGUAGGGGAGAUCGGAAUUCCUGGUGUAGCGGUGAAAUGCGUAGAUAUCGGAAGGAACACCAGUGGCGAAAGCGGCUUCCUGGUCCAGCAUCGACGUUCAGGCACGAAAGCGUGGGGAGCAAACAGG